This 799-nucleotide ribosomal RNA is filed under the name Tolypocladium amazonense. RNAcentral describes it as "eukaryotic LSU rRNA". It matches the Rfam family "Eukaryotic large subunit ribosomal RNA", at positions 87 to 917 of the family's 3401-position model. The record is from RNAcentral. Lineage: Eukaryota; Fungi; Ascomycota; Sordariomycetes; Hypocreales; Ophiocordycipitaceae.
CGGCGAGUGAAGCGGCAACAGCUCAAAUUUGAAAUCUGGCCCCCAGGGCCCGAGUUGUAAUUUGCAGAGGAUGCUUUUGGCGCGGUGCCUUCCGAGUUCCCUGGAACGGGACGCCAUAGAGGGUGAGAGCCCCGUCUGGUCGGACACCAAGCCAGUGUAAAGCUCCUUCGACGAGUCGAGUAGUUUGGGAAUGCUGCUCUAAAUGGGAGGUAUAUGUCUUCUAAAGCUAAAUACCGGCCAGAGACCGAUAGCGCACAAGUAGAGUGAUCGAAAGAUGAAAAGCACUUUGAAAAGAGGGUUAAACAGUACGUGAAAUUGUUGAAAGGGAAGCGUUUAUGACCAGACUUGGGCCCGGUGAAUCAUCCAGCGUUCUCGCUGGUGCACUUUGCCGGGCUCAGGCCAGCAUCAGUUCGUCGCGGGGGAUAAAAGCUUCGGGAACGUGGCUCCCUCGGGAGUGUUAUAGCCCGUUGCAUAAUACCCUGCGGUGGACUGAGGUACGCGCUCCGCAAGGAUGCUGGCGUAAUGGUCAUCAGCGACCCGUCUUGAAACACGGACCAAGGAGUCGUCUUCGUAUGCGAGUGUUCGGGUGUCAAACCCCUACGCGUAAUGAAAGUGAACGCAGGUGAGAGCUUCGGCGCAUCAUCGACCGAUCCUGAUGUUCUCGGAUGGAUUUGAGUAAGAGCAUACGGGGCCGGACCCGAAAGAAGGUGAACUAUGCCUGUAUAGGGUGAAGCCAGAGGAAACUCUGGUGGAGGCUCGCAGCGGUUCUGACGUGCAAAUCGAUCGUCAAAUAUGGGCA